UUGUCUCUAGUUGCUACGAAAGGGCACUCUAGAGAGACUGCCGGUGACAAACCGGAGGAAGGUGGGGAUGACGUCAAGUCCUCAUGGCCCUUAUGGGUAGGGCUUCACACGUCAUACAAUGGUGCAUACAGAGGGUUGCCAAGCCGCGAGGUGGAGCUAAUCCCAGAAAAUGCAUCGUAGUCCGGAUCGUAGUCUGCAACUCGACUACGUGAAGCUGGAAUCGCUAGUAAUCGCGGAUCAGCAUGCCG
This 248-nucleotide ribosomal RNA is filed under the name phenanthrene-metabolizing bacterium DGGE-band-6. Its description in RNAcentral is "partial 16S ribosomal RNA". It matches the Rfam family "Bacterial small subunit ribosomal RNA", at positions 1105 to 1359 of the family's 1533-position model. The record is from RNAcentral. Lineage: Bacteria; Pseudomonadati; Pseudomonadota; Betaproteobacteria.